GUAUUUUGUCUUGCGUAGCAGUGAAUGUCUGCAUCUUUAAUAGAAAUGAUUUAUAAAGAGGAUUUGGAACAUGCUGACUUCACAAUGAAGAAGCUCCACUCCCAGAGGAGCCGUUAACCCAGACAGCCCAGUCCCCGCUCCCCUUGCAAUCACACAAACUCCAACUGUUCUACCAGCAAGGCCAAGACGGACGCUGAGCCUUUCAGAGAAGCUGAAGCAUACAGGCAUCUCUGCCGACUCCCCACAGUGUUCAGAUGGAUGAAGAAAUGGAGGCCCCAAAAGAAAUUUUUAAUAAAACAACUUUUGUAAAUUCCACGAGAUAAAAGGAUGUGGAACACAUGGAACUCAAAAUGUAUCACUGAAAUUCUCAUGCAAGUGUUCUAGUCCAAAGAGAGAAGAGAAAUGAGAAGAAAUAAGAAGGAAAAAGGAGGUCUGACCAUCGGACCAUUAUGAAAGCGUGAUUCUGGGAAGAAAGUGUGACAGCGGUUCAACAGUACACAGACUUGGGGGAUGAGUUAGAGUGAUGCUGAUAGAAGCUGAUACUAGAGUUUGUUGCUUUCUACAUUUCUGAUACCUAACAGACAACAAGGAAGAGCUGGCAUCCUGGAACAUGGAGGAUAACAGAGAUAGAAGUGGUGGAAUGGUGUCUUUCAAAGACCACAAGAUACAAAUAUAAAUAAAUGGUUUAUUCCCCAGGAACUGAAAGAACUAAAUAAACUGAAAGGAGAAGAACAGCACUGAAAUGCACACACCCAACAGAACACAUUUUAUUUUUCCACUUAAGAUCAGAAGAGCAGGGUCAAUCUUCAAUCUUUGGCUUGCCUGGUCUAUAAGAAGAAAAAAGUUCAAGUGGCAAAACUCAGUCUAUCCUGAGUAUCUUUUCUUUUAAUCUCGUCUCCCUUCUUCUUUCAAUAUUAAUCCAUUUACAA
Molecule: long non-coding RNA, 929 nt
Organism: Equus caballus (horse)
Lineage: Eukaryota; Metazoa; Chordata; Mammalia; Perissodactyla; Equidae
Source: RefSeq, a predicted model, not a curated record